UCCGGUGUGGUGUAGUUAGCUAGCAUGAGAUAUGUCCCUACGGAUGACCACCACAUCCGCCUACAGGACCCAAGUUCGAUCCUUGGCGCCGGAC
Non-coding RNA from Lophium mytilinum, 94 nucleotides. Lineage: Eukaryota; Fungi; Ascomycota; Dothideomycetes; Mytilinidiales; Mytilinidiaceae. The record is from the annotation of a GenBank genome assembly.